Cornus florida is the source of this 2353-nucleotide long non-coding RNA. RefSeq lists it as uncharacterized. The record is from RefSeq and is a predicted model, not a curated record. NCBI's taxonomy places the organism in Eukaryota, Viridiplantae, Streptophyta, Magnoliopsida, Cornales, Cornaceae. The transcript has 3 exons.
UUUUGUGGUUGUGUGCUAUGAGUGUGAAGUGGGACCCACUUGUACCAAAGUCAUUACAAAUGACUUAAUUCACAUAUCAUACUCUCAUUUUCUCUCUUCUCAAUUACGUUCUCUCCUUUCCCCCCUUUCAGUUCCUUUUUUUCUUUUCUUUUACCAUCAUUUACAAGCUUGAUUUUUCUUCAACUGUUGGGAGUUUGUUAGUGUCGUUUGCGACAAAUCGGAAAGCACGGCGAGAUCUACGCGUAGGUCACGUGAAAGAAGUUGUGGACGACGUUCCUCGAUAGGUUUGAAUGGGUCACGGGAAGGAAGUAGCGGACGACGUUCCUCCAUAGGUUUGAAUGGGUUAUUGGACUGUUUUUUUAUCUUUUAUAUUUGUGAUUUCAUUUAUUUUCUACAACAAGUCUUGGGAUAGCACGUACAUUAUGUAUCGACCUUGGAACUUACCAUAGUGCCCUUAAACAACCUCGGGUUUGGGUAAGAACUCGGUUAGCGAUUCGAACCCUCGGGUUCGGGUCGUCACAAAUAAUUUUAGAAAAUGGUGUUACAAAUUUAAUUAUUUUUUCUAAUUUAUUAUAAAUUGAUAUUAAUAAUAAAAUUAAGGUAAAUGAUAUAAUUAAUUUUUAGAUAAGAGAAGAUAAUAAAAAUAUUUAAUAAGAAAUGAAAAAUUUAAUGAGAAAAGAUAAAAUAGUAUUUUGGAAUGAAUUUGUCCUUAAUUGUAAUAAAUCAAUAAUUUAGGGAGUUACUUGCGAAAGGAUAGUAGUUUAGGAGUUUUUUUACACUUUACCCUCGUACAUAAACCUAAGACUUCAAAGUAACAAAUUUUGAGAGUUACAUCAUUUAAGUUUUUAUUACUACAUGCAAAAUAUUUAUGUUAAUCAAUUGAAUAUAGUUUCUUUAACAUUUAGUGUUUUGAGUAAAUGCGGAAUAUGUAUUUGAUAUUUAUAUGUGCUAUCCAUUCUAAAUUUGUAAAACAAAUACUCUGGAAAACAAGAACAUAAAAAUAUAUAAAUUUUUUUAAAGGGAGAUGUUAUUGACACUGUAAAAAAUUUUUGGUUGUUGUUCAAUGGGCUUCCAAUUUUUCUGAAUUGCUACAUAUUUUGUUAUCCAAAUAGUUUAAUGGGUUUAGGCCUAUAGUUAGUUACUUUGGGCUUCUUGAGUAUAUCCAAGAGAGUUUGGGCCUGUUUGGAGCUUUGACUUAUUAUUUACAAAAUUGGGUUGUUUACUCUUGAAUAUUAUUCAAGGUUGGCAUAAGCUAAAAUUGGGUCAAUUCAAGUUUUGCUGAAGCGCUUGGUGUAAACCUGGAUCAAAUAAAGACUAGAUUUGACUCUGAUAUCAAUUAUUAGGGGUGCUAUCCUAAUCACUUCUUUAUUUCUGGGAUUGGUUCCCCUUAUAAGAGCAUCUCCAAUGCGAGAAGCUAAAUUCGCUUGCCAAAUCUAUAUUUUGACAGGUGCUACAGUGUCAAAAUGCUACAUUUUAGCAAUUCUGCUCUAAUGGUGCAUUUCAUGCAAAAUACUAUUUUUUGACACAAACCGUCAUUCUUUUUCAACUACCAUUCCCACCAUUUAUAUUUUUAUCAGUAAUAUUAAUAUUAGGCAAAUUUCAAGUCAAGUUGUAUACAGUAGAAGAAAACUAAAAUUAAACCUAAUUAAAAAGAAGCAAAAAUUUAAAAUAUCUGGUCAAAAAAGGAGCCAAAAAAUAAUAAUAAUAAUAAUUUUUUUACCACUAUUUGUGAAUUAAUUUUUUUAUAUAAUUUUUUUCUUUUUCGGAAAUUUAUAUAUAUAUAUAUAUAUAUAUAUAUGUAUAUUAUAUAUAUUUGAUUAUAUUAUUAUUAAAAAUAUAUAUAUUUUUAGGGCAAAUCAUUUCAGCCUCCCCAAUCACCUCCAUCUCUAUUCUCCUUCUCAACUCCGAGAACUUGCCCUCUCUCUCUCUCUGUGCAACUGCAAACUACAACUCCAACGACGACAGAAAGCUUCGACAAGCAAGGAAUUGUUCUUGAGACAACGGAGAGCUUGGGACGGCAGUCGCUUGAGGCGGUGCUUGGCGGGAUGAAGCGAUAACCGAGAACAGCAGCUAUGAUGGAUCCGGCGGGGAUGGGCUGGUGAUGAGUUCAGAUUCUAUAUUUGCAAAGGACUUCCUGCAUUUUUUUGUUGCUUAUUAACUUGGGAAUUAUUUGUGAAAUUUUUUGUUGCUUAUUAACUUGGAAAUUAUUUGGGAAAUUUAUGAAUAUAGAUGUUUUAAUUAUAAGACCUCAAACAAUUGUUGUAAGGUUCAGAUAACAGGGAUGGAUGGAUUAGAAUUCAGUGAUGAUGGUGGUGGGGUUAGAUUAGGGCUUUCUCGAGACGGAUAGGAUGAA